RNAcentral lists this small RNA (806 nucleotides) under Pongo abelii (Sumatran orangutan). Its description in RNAcentral is "processed transcript". Lineage: Eukaryota; Metazoa; Chordata; Mammalia; Primates; Hominidae. The record is from RNAcentral.
CCCCAAGCCCGGAGGAGGUGGCUACAUUGUGUCUAUUGUAUCCCUUGGCUGGUGUAUUUGUACAUCUCUCGGGACGUGAAAUUGACAGCGAAAAGUAUGGCAGAUGAGCAAGAAAUCAUGUGCAAAUUGGAAAGCAUUAAAGAGAUCAGGAACAAGACCCUGCAGAUGGAGAAGAUCAAGGCUCGUUUGAAGGCUGAGUUUGAGGCACUUGAGUCAGAGGAAAGGCACCUGAAGGAAUACAAGCAGGAGAUGGACCUUCUGCUACAGGAGAAGAUGGCCCAUGUGGAGGAACUCCGACUGAUCCACGCUGACAUCAAUGUGAUGGAAAACACUAUCAAACAAUCUGAGAAUGACCUAAACAAGCUGCUAGAGUCUACAAGGAGGCUGCAUGAUGAGUAUAAGCCACUGAAAGAACAUGUGGAUGCCCUGCGCAUGACUCUGGGCCUGCAGAGGCUCCCUGACUUGUGUGAAGAAGAGGAGAAGCUUUCCUUGGAAAUGAUCUAGCCAGUGUCUCUCAUCUCCAAAGUUACUUUGAGAAGCAGAAAGCAGAAUGGCAGACGGAACCUCAGGAGCCCCCCAUCCCUGAGUCCCUGGCCGCUGCAGCCGCUGCCGCCCAACAGCUCCAAGUGGCUAGGAAGCAGGACACUCGGCAGACGGCCACCUUCAGGCAGCAGCCCCCACCUAUGAAGGCCUGCUUGUCAUGUCACCAGCAAAUUCACCGGAAUGCACCUAUAUGCCCUCUAUGCAAGGCCAAGAGUCGGUCCCGGAACCCCAAAAAGCCGAAACGGAAGCAGGAUGAAUAAAGA